This 433-nucleotide ribosomal RNA is filed under the name uncultured bacterium. RNAcentral describes it as "partial 16S ribosomal RNA". It matches the Rfam family "Bacterial small subunit ribosomal RNA", at positions 29 to 507 of the family's 1533-position model. The record is from RNAcentral.
AACGAACGCUGGCGGCAUGCCUAACACAUGCAAGUCGAACGAGACCUUCGGGUCUAGUGGCGCACGGGUGCGUAACGCGUGGGAACCUGCCCUUAGGUUCGGAAUAACUCCCCGAAAGGGGUGCUAAUACCGGAUCAUGUCUUCGGACCAAAGAUUUAUCGCCUUUGGAUGGGCCCGCGUUGGAUUAGCUUGUUGGUAGGGUAAAAGCCUACCAAGGCGACGAUCCAUAGCUGGUCUGAGAGGAUGAUCAGCCACACUGGGACUGAGACACGGCCCAGACUCCUACGGGAGGCAGCAGUGGGGAAUAGUGGACAAUGGGCGAAAGCCUGAUCCAGCAAUGCCGCGUGAGUGAUGAAGGCCUUAGGGUUGUAAAGCUCUUUUACCCGGGAUGAUAAUGACAGUACCGGGAGAAUAAGCUCCGGCUAACUCCGUG